RNAcentral lists this ribosomal RNA (520 nucleotides) under uncultured Glomus. RNAcentral's name for it is "SSU rRNA". It matches the Rfam family "Eukaryotic small subunit ribosomal RNA", at positions 569 to 1092 of the family's 1831-position model. Lineage: Eukaryota; Fungi; Glomeromycota; Glomeromycetes; Glomerales; Glomeraceae. The record is from RNAcentral.
AGCAGCCGCGGUAAUUCCAGCUCCAAUAGCGUAUAUUAAAGUUGUUGCAGUUAAAAAGCUCGUAGUUGAAUUUCGGGGUCAGUAGGUUGGUCGUGCCACUGGUAUGUACUGGCCUCACUGAUUCCUCCUUCUUGUAGAACCGUAAUGCCAUUAAUUUGGUGUUGCGGGGAAACAGGACUGUUACUUUGAAAAAAUUAGAGUGUUUAAAGCAGGCUAACGCUUGAAUACAUUAGCAUGGAAUAAUGAAAUAGGACGUUCGAUCCUAUUUUGUUGGUUUCUAGGAUUGACGUAAUGAUUAAUAGGGAUAGUUGGGGGCAUUAGUAUUCAAUUGUCAGAGGUGAAAUUCUUGGAUUUAUUGAAGACUAACUACUGCGAAGGCAUUUGCCAAGGAUGUUUUCAUUAAUCAAGAACGAAAGUUAGGGGAUCGAAGACGAUCAGAUACCGUCGUAGUCUUAACCAUAAACUAUGCCGACUAGGGAUCGGAUGAUGUAAUUUUUAAUGACUCAUUCGGCGCCUUACG